RNAcentral lists this ribosomal RNA (665 nucleotides) under Paraphylax sp. NL303. Its description in RNAcentral is "eukaryotic LSU rRNA". It matches the Rfam family "Eukaryotic large subunit ribosomal RNA", at positions 420 to 827 of the family's 3401-position model. The record is from RNAcentral. Lineage: Eukaryota; Metazoa; Arthropoda; Insecta; Hymenoptera; Ichneumonidae.
CCUGAGAAACCCGAAAGAUCGAAUGGGGAGAUUCAUCGUCAGCGAUUUUGGUACGUGUGCGGUUCGCGAUGCCGGGGACCUCGGUCCCAUGGCACGCGUCCGCAUGUUUUUAUUGCCUGAAUCGUCGGCGUGCACUUCUCCCCUAGUAGGACGUCGCGACCCGUUGGGUGUCGGUCUACGACCCGGGUGGUAGCCUGUCUCGUGUGCGCUUUACGGCGUUACGCGGGGCAGACCCCUGUGUGUCUGGCCGGCUGCCCGGCGGUACUCGCAUGGUAUCUGGCCGCAAAUAUUCGAACUGCGUCCGGCCCGUCGCAAGCGCGACAAGUGUUUCCCGGCUGUACGGAUCUAAUGCCGUCACCGGGCCUUGCCCGCUGUUGGUUGACGGUGUCCUAGGACUGGCCAAUAUAAUUAUGAUACCGGUCGGCGACGCUACUGCUUUGGGUACUUUCAGGACCCGUCUUGAAACACGGACCAAGGAGUCUAACAUGUGCGCGAGUCAUUGGGAUCUAUUAAGCCUAAAGGCGCAAUGAAAGUGAAGGUCGGCCUUGCGCCAACCGAGGGAGGAUGGGCCGCGUCACGAUGCGGUCCCGCACUCCCGGGGCGUCUCGUUCUCAUUGCGAGAAGAGGCGCACCCAGAGCGUACACGUUGGGACCCGAAAGAUGGU